This is a long non-coding RNA of Apus apus (common swift), 1545 nucleotides long. RefSeq lists it as uncharacterized. The record is from RefSeq and is a predicted model, not a curated record. NCBI's taxonomy places the organism in Eukaryota, Metazoa, Chordata, Aves, Apodiformes, Apodidae. The transcript has 5 exons.
CGGCUAAAGCGCCGGAAAGGCCGCGGGCGACGGCGCAGAACAGGACGGAUGGUCUGUCUGCCUGCAGCAUUGGCCACGCCAGCGGAGAGGCCCACGGCGGAGGCCUCCCUGCAGCGGCCUGCCCGCUCGGCUCAGGAGGCCCCGCCGAGACCCGUCAGCGGCUCCGGCCGCGGUGGAGGCGCCUGCGUCGGGAGUGCCGGCACGAAACCCCCAGGCCUGGGCCCGUCCGUCCGUCCCCCCUUCCCCCGCCGCCGGGACUGGAAGCGGAGCCGCGGCGUUGGCUGAAGGACAGCCCCCGCCACGACGGGGAGGAGAGAGGAGGGAGGGGGAGGGGACACCGCCCGCCCCGGCGCCCCCAGAGGCGGGCGAACACCGCCUGCUCGCCAGCCGCCCCUCGCCUUGCCGAGGCGGCGCUCCCCUCCCCGCGCCGGAGGCCUAGGCCGCCAGCAAGCGGGCGGGGGCAGGGCGGUACCUGCGCUUGAAGUCCGUCUCGAAGGGGCUCAGUGUGUCUGCUGCCGGGUGAACUCUGCUUUCCCACACACCAAAAAAACCGCACACAAACGCCCCCCCCUCACCCGCCUCUAACCAGAUUUGGUGUCAUCAUGAGUGUUGGAAUACAUUUCUCGACUGUUUGAUAGGGUGCUGGCGUGCUCACAGACAAGCUCAGCAAAACAAGACUCCGGGGGCAUCCAUGAGUUCUCAUAAACACUGUGUCUAUACAGCAAAAUGUUGCUUUACUGGACACAAAGAAUCAUAAUCAAAUUAACUAGUUUGGCAAACUCAAAGGAGAGAAGUUCCAGUCCAUAAUCAAGAGCCGGGAAAUUGUCUGGGGUUUUUUUACAAUAGUUAAGUGUUACCUGUGCUGCUGCUUUGGCGCUUCCUGGAGAGAUCACCUGAACAGGAGGUGGCUCAGAGCAAACAUGAUCCCUGGUCCUGACCUGGCUUUGUAAGGCACUUCCAGACCCGACAGAGUCAUCUUUGGGCUGCAGGAUUCUGCACUGUAGCUGUCAUGCACUACUAAUUUCUAGACUGCCCAAUCCCAUACGUUUGAGAUAGUCUGACAUGUGGCAUUGCUAUCCUUAAGGAAUUUAGUUACACAGAAGAAAAUUGAGCCUGAUGCCGAUGGAUGAGAUAGGCUUUAUAGCUUCUCCGUGCAUGUUGGUAAAGGAACAUAACUGUGGAAUACAAGUGUCAUCAAAAUAUUUCUCUGGUUUUGUAAGGAGUUGCAGAAUAAGUCAUUCCUUUUCUGUACAAUGAAGCGUGGAUAUUCACAACUGUAAAAAAACCCAACACUGCGAGCAACAGAAAAAUAACUGCCACAUGUUGUUUUCCAUUUUUCUAGUUUCCUUUCUGUAGAAUGAAGCAUGAACAUCUCUAUUAAAUAAAAAAAAAAAAAAACAAGAAGAAAAACCUUCACCUUUUGUCUACAGUUUUUCUUAAAUCUAAAAAUGUUUUUCAAAUGAACUUAAAUCAUUAGUUGGGUGUCUUGCCUCAAUUUUUCAUCUAUAGAAUAAACUGAAGUAUUUCAGCUUUUAGCAUCUGUAA